This 76-nucleotide transfer RNA is filed under the name Massilia sp. YIM B02763. Its description in RNAcentral is "tRNA-Gly". It matches the Rfam family "tRNA". From Rfam's summary of the family: Transfer RNA (tRNA) molecules are approximately 80 nucleotides in length. The record is from RNAcentral. Lineage: Bacteria; Pseudomonadati; Pseudomonadota; Betaproteobacteria; Burkholderiales; Oxalobacteraceae.
GCGGGAGUAGCUCAGUUGGUAGAGCGCAACCUUGCCAAGGUUGAGGUCGAGAUUUCGAGACUCUUCUCCCGCUCCA